UUAGCUACAGUAGGUACAGUAGGUACGGUAGGGAAAGUAGGUAGAUGCAGUAGAUACAGUAGGUAUAGAUUCAGUAGGUACAGUAGAUAGAUACAGUAAGUGCAUUAGGUAGACACAUUAGCUACAGUAGGUACAGUAGGUACGGUAGGGAAAGUAGGUAGAUGCAGUAGAUACAGUAGGUACAGUAGGUACAGUACAUAGAUACAGUAGCUACAGUAGGGAGAGUAGGUAGAUACAGUAGGUGAAGUAGAUACAGUAGAUGCAGUAGGUACAGUGGGUAGAUAAAGUAGGUAGAUACAGUAGGUACAGUAGAUGCAGUAGGUACAGCAGCUACAGUAGAUACAGUAGGUUAAGUAGGUACAGUAGGUACAGUAGAUAGGUUAAGCAGAUACAGUAGGUACAGUAGGGAAGUAGAUACAGUAGGUGAAGUAGAUACAGUAGAUGUAGUAGGUACAGUAGGUGAAGUAGGUAGCUAAAGUAGGUGGAGUAGAUACAGUAGAUGUAGUAGGUGCAGUAGAUACAGUAGACACAGUAGAUAACGUAGGAAGGUACAGUAGAUACAGUAGGUAGAUAACAUAGGAAGGUACAGUAGAUACAGUAGGUAGAUAACAUAGGAAGGUACAGUAGAUACAGUAGGUAGAUAAAGUAGGAAGGUACAGUAGGUACAGUAGGUGAAGUCAGUACAGUAGGUGUGGUAGAUACAGUAGAUAGCUAAAGUAGGUAGGUACAGUAGGUUCAGUAGGUAAAAUAGGUUGUACUUCAAUAAUUUAUAAUGUCAAGACAUGUUCGUUUAUAACCAAAUAUGGAGUGUCGUUGAGCAACUAUCUUAAUUUACUGCCAUCAAGCCCAGUGUGUACUUCCAAAAAUUUUUACAAGCAACUGAAAAAAUAUAUUGUUUGGAAAUAAUGUGUAUUGUUU
Molecule: long non-coding RNA, 918 nt
Filed under: Salmo salar (Atlantic salmon)
Lineage: Eukaryota; Metazoa; Chordata; Actinopteri; Salmoniformes; Salmonidae
Description: lncRNA (ENSSSAG00000120536.1)
Source: RNAcentral